UGUGAAAAUCUUCCUAGCAAUUUUCUUGAAUUCUUUUGUUGAGCCACACAAAGACAAAAUGCCUCUGUUGUAUAACAUUCUAUAUGCUUUCAUAUAUAUAAAAGCAUAUAUAUAAUUUCAUAUAUAUAUGAACAACAGAGGCAUUUGCCAGAGCAUUUUUUCUUUAUUUGGCUCAACAAAAGAAUUCAAGGAAAUCGCUAGAAAGAUUUUCACA
Podarcis lilfordi (Lilford's wall lizard) is the source of this 214-nucleotide non-coding RNA. NCBI's taxonomy places the organism in Eukaryota, Metazoa, Chordata, Lepidosauria, Squamata, Lacertidae. The record is from the annotation of a GenBank genome assembly.